GGGAAUGGGUUUAGUGCCCUUGUAUUAGAGACCUGAGAGAGCUCCCUAGUUCCUGCUACCUAGUGAGGAUACACGAGAGAGUUGGGAUUCUGAGGCCUAGCUGUGAACACUGUGCCUGUGACUGCCUUGCCUUUGGGGAGACAGGAAGACCUCUGGGCUGCAUGUCAGGAACUGCUCUUCUUAAAAUCCAGAGGACUUCUGUAGCAUCGCCAGCGGCCCUCCUCAGACUUAGUGACACGUCCUGAUUGCUGAGACUGAUUUGUGUCCUUUUCUUAACAGAGCCAAGUGGGCAUCUGUGGAGCCCCACCUCUGGUCCUAGACCCAGAAUGGUUGGAUGCUAAAAAGGAAUACUCCGUGGACCUCUGCUGUGUUCCAGGCACUUGAAAUUUCCUGUUGGAUCCUAUGCAAAGAGAGACUGUUGAGAGUCCCUUGGGCUGCAAGAAGAUCAAACCAGUCCAUCCUAAAGGAAAUCAGUCCUGAAUAUUCAUUGGAAGGACUAAUGCUAAAGCUAAAGCUCCAGUACUUUGGCCACCUGAUGGGAAGAAUCAACUCACUGGAAAAGAUGGUGAUGCUGGGAAAGAUUGAAGGCGGGAGGAGAAGGGGACGACAGAGGAUGAGAUGGUUGGAUGGCAUCGCUGACUCAGUGGACAUGAGUUUGAGGUCUCUUGCUUUGCACAGUUCCAGAAGGCACCAUUCAUGAUGCAGUCUGAGCUCUGCCUGGGGCUGAUUUUACUGAGAUUAUUACCAUGACUAGUGCUGACUGCCCAGAGUUGGGUGAUGUGGAGACUGGAGCUCCAGAAGUGAGGCAUCUUUUUUUUGCCUAGUUUGAUCAUUGCCAUGUCCCCAUACCCAGAACGAUGCCUGACCUAUAUUAAACUGAAAUACAUGUUGAAAGAAAGAAUGAAAUCCUCCAAAGAGAACCAUUUUACUGGUG
This is a long non-coding RNA of Bos taurus (domestic cattle), 934 nucleotides long. Lineage: Eukaryota; Metazoa; Chordata; Mammalia; Artiodactyla; Bovidae. The record is from Ensembl.